This 68-nucleotide transfer RNA is filed under the name Marmota monax (woodchuck). RNAcentral's name for it is "tRNA.Ala". Lineage: Eukaryota; Metazoa; Chordata; Mammalia; Rodentia; Sciuridae. The record is from RNAcentral.
GGAAUGUGGCUCAGUGGUAAAGCUCUCACCUAGCACAUGUGAGGCUCUGGGUUCGAUCCUUGGCACCA